UAAAUGAGGCCGGAAGCAACGAAGAACAAUUCCGGUAAAUCCCCAUAUGCAUAUUUUGGUUAUGGUACUGUUCUGCCCUGAACAAAAUUUUAGGGGUGUUAAACAUGCAAAGUGAUGCCACCAUGUUAAACUAGGCAUUUUUCUACCCCAUUUACAUAUAAAGUUUAUUAAAUUCCGAGUUACGGUUAUUUAGUUAUGAAUUAAACCAUUUUAGCACGUUAUUUAAGCAAAUUUAAACAAACAACAUAUUAAACAUUUUAAACAUGGAUGAAAAAGACUUAUUAUGAAACUAGAUGAAAAACUAAGCAAGUAUCAUAUACAAAGUUUUUACAUGUGAUGCUCCGUUUGUGAGAUAUUAAAUGCAUGAAGUUUAGGGGCUGAUCUGCAAAAGUGCAACUCCCUGAAAAAAAAACAGGAAAACGCUCUAUGUAAAAAAAAUGAUACGGCCCGGAUCUGGUUGGCCCAUUAGAGGAAAGGACAGGAGCUGCUAACAUCGGGCCAAGCACAGUCGGUCGAGGAGUGGGCCGGCUUGAGCUGGGGUCAACAGGCGAAGAGGAGGCGCUAGGCCGCGCGAGCGAAGCAAAGGGAGGGGGUCGAGGCUCGGUCAACACGGGCAGGACUCGUCGAUUGACGCGCUCGCUACUACUCGACAGGAAGCAGAGCCGCGGCGGCACGGCUGCUCGCCGGAGACGAAGGAAGGGAGGCGGAGACGGCGGAUCUGGACGGAGGGGGGCAGAUGCAGGUGAAGAAGCUCCAGGCGGAGAAGGAUCCAUGGGGCGGCGGCGUCCUUGGACGGGCGGCGGCCAUGCUUCAGUCCCUGACAGAGAGAAACAGGAGAGGGGAGUGAGUGGUCAGGAGAGACAAUCAGAGGGAGGAGGAGAGGAAACAGGGCGGCGGCUACUCAUCUCCGACGAGGUCGGAGCUCCGGCGAGGCCUGGUGGCCGGAGCAACAACGUGAGGCGGCGGGGUCAAUCUGGAUCGGGAGGAGCUCGGGCACGGGCAUGAGGGCGGCGGAGGAGCAGUGGCUUGCGGGGGCUCCUCUCCUCUCGAUGGAGCUUGGGAAUGAGGGCAUGGGGAGUAGCGGGGAGAUGCCUGGGUUCAACUCCGGCAAGGGGAGUCGCGGAUUGGAGCUUAGGACGGUCGGCGCGCGAUGAGCUCCUGCAGGACACGGGCACAAGAAAAGGGUCAGUGAGGAAGAGAGGGAAAGAGAAGAAAGAGCAGGGGCGCACAGUGAGGCGUUUGUCCCUGGUUCGUUCGAAGAGAUGAGGCGCUGGGGUCGGCCGAUGCUCCGCUCGGUGGUACUCUGGCCGGGGCUCUCGGGAGGAGGAGGUUGCGGGAUUGGGUGGAUCGAGGGGAGGAGAAUGUUGGACUGGUGCUGAAAACGAGGGAGUUAGUCGAGAUCGACUGGGAAUGGGUGGAUGGCUCUGGGAGGAUCCCGAUGAAGAGAGUGGCGGCGGCGAGGAGGAGGAUUGGUGGAUUGGACAGGAUAGGCUAGGGUUUGACUGGUUAUUUAUAGUAUUGGAUUUUUGGUUAGGGACUAUCUGAAGCCUCCGAUCAAAAUCGGACGGUCACAAAUAAAAUAGCUAGGGAGUCCAAAUAAGAAAACGGUGACAUUUUGUAGAUGUUUGGGGAUGUUCCGGACACAACGGUGGCGACAAUCCGAGUCGGGUCCGGGACAGCUUUUCGGACACGCGUGCGAGGAGGGCCGCGGGCUGACAAGAGGGGUUAGGUAGGGCAUGAGGGUGUGUAGUGAAAUGUGAAGACGGUCUAGGGAGGAAAAGAGAGGGAAAGUCCGGCAAUAGUUUUCGGAGACCGAAAACGUCCGACGUUAGACCGGCUAUACUGCCGCUAUAGUUAUCCGUUGGGGCAACAGACGAUCUUCGAAUGCGAUGAAACUUGACAGGCGGUCUAUCUACACGAUAAUAAGACCACACAACAACUUUCAUUCCAUUCCAAGAACAUUUUCCGGCCACAUAUAAAAUACUAUUUCGGACUUGCCGCGGGCGCGUGCAAGUGUGUCUCGGCUUAGAACGAACAACGGACGGAACUGGGAGACCCGGACUAAUGCAAGUUUUGAAAAACAUGAUGAUGCAAUGCACAUGAUGACAUGGCAAGAUGCAACACGCAAGCAGAUGACAAGGCCACACCAGCGAAUAACUGGAGGACACCUGGCACAUCGGUCUCGGGGCGUCACAACACUCCACCACUACGAGAGGAUCUCGUCCCGAGAUCUAGAAUGGCACCGGAGAGAAAACGGAAGAGACAGAGAAGAGGUAAAACUAAGUUGCUUCUUUGACCAAUGAGUGAAACCAAAGAACCUUGCAAAGGUUAAGCCAUUUCGAGAAAAGAAUACGACGGAGAUGAACAAAGUUGAAAACACUCUGUUAGAAAAGAGGAACAAGGAAGAACAACUUCGGGCAGCACUCCGAUUGAAAAGAAAAGGAAUUGAAUAAGAACUUGAUAAGAUUAGAAGAUACUUGAUGAAAUCACAAUACACUGCCUCCGUAACUAUUGAAUGAAUGGAACAAGGGGUAGGAAAGAUCUCAGACCACACUCCGGUUGAAAAGAGAUGCAAAGCUUGAUAAGGCGAAGAAAACUUGAGCCAAAAGGCACACCUCCGGUUAAAUUGAUAAGCACGAAAAGAACAUGCUCUUGACAAGAGCAAGAAGAAGGUUUGAAGAGAGCAGCAACACAAUGCCUCCGGCAGAAAGAAAUAGAAGAUAGAUAAUUGAAAUAAAAGAAUGUUGAAGAAAAUGCCAACUUCUACCACAAAAGAGUUUGAAAAAGGCAUCUUAAGGAGAAGGGUCGAACGGAGUUAUUGGAAAGCCAACAACGAAAGAAUAAACUUGAUAUGGUCUUAUGGAGUACAUCUCAAAUUGUGAGGUGACAACCUGCCACUCACGGGAAAAGAAUUGUAUUAAUAUGAACAAGGAGACGAGAAAGUAUAUCGCACUGGAAAGGAUAAAUGAAGAAAUUGGAUCAUUGAUAAACACCAUGAGAGCGACAAUCCUUAAAAGAAAGCUUUAGGUGAAAUAUAACCCAAGAUAAUUCCAAUGAAGAAAAUGAUGGAUUUAAAAUAUCUCAUCCUUGACAACAUGUGAAUCAUGAAACAUGAACUGAAAUUAUCAAGAAUGGCAUAAUACCACCUCCAAUAAUAUGAUAGAAAGAAUGCACUCCGGAUUACAAUAUGAAGAAAGCUUGAGUUUCUUAGAAAAGAAUCUUGAUGAACACUUCAAGAAGAAAUUAAAUCCUUUAUGAACCAACAUGUAGAACCUUCCCGAAGAACUCCGUUAAACAAAAGAAUGCUCAAACGGAAGGAAAGAGAAGUUGAAAAACACAAGGUGAAACCUUGCAAUGAUUAGAUGGACCUUCGAGAUGAUAUAUUUGAGAGAGCUUGGAACUCCGGAAAAGAAAAGAUGAAACGAUAGAAACCGAGAAUUUGGUGAACCUCCGGAAUAAGGAAUUAAAUCACUUGGAUGAAACAAUAAUAAGAAUUACAUUAUGCUUAUCCUUCACCAAUUCAAAUUGAUGACAAGCAAUGGAUUUUUGGCAUACUACUUAUUCUCGUAGAAAGGAUUAAGAUAGAUAUAGCACAAACUUGGGAAGAUCUUCAACGAACCACCGUAAGAAUUGAAACAACGAAUAAAUUGAUAUGAUAAAUGAAGGAAGAAGAAUCUUGAGCGAACCACCGUAAGAAUUAAAAAUGAACAAAGAAUAGAUAAGGAAGACACCGGGAAGAAUUAGUAAAUAAACGAAGAUGCUUGAGAGAAUUUAGAUACAUGAGAACGAAGAGAUCGCGAGCUGGUAAGAGAAAACUUGAAUGAUGCACCGGUAAGAUUGGAGGAUGACCACUGAAAGCUGAGAAUGAAUAAACCUAAAUUGAUGGACUCCAGAUAAUCAAACUGAGGAGACCCUUGAAUUGCUUCAGAUGGGUGAAAAGAAUUCUCACGAUCGAAAACAAUUAUGAGAGGAUGGCAUAAGGCUAGCAUCAUGAAUUUUGAGAGAACGGAUAAGAUUGAGGAGAAACUCUUCUUCGGUCUUCAAAAGUUGGAAAAGACGAUGAGUAACACCACCGUGAAUUGUUGAGACACUCCGGAAUAAAGAAGAAUAGAAAAGUUGAACCAAUGAUGAAAACAAUUUGGAAGAUCUUGGAGAAAGACAUUUGACUGAUGAUAAAUCAUUCUUACGUCAAACUUCGAAAAGAAAUUGAGAAUAACACCGGAAAAAUAAGAAGAGUUAGGUAAGAUCCUGGAAAAAAGACCUGUGGGUUAGGGCCCACUCAAGAGAAACACCGUUGAAAUGAUUUAAAAGAGAGAAUGCACCGGUUGAAUUAAAUGGCUUAAAUAAGAUAACACCUCGAAAUAGGUUGAACAGAUCUUGAAUGACAAGACGAGCCUUUUGAGAAAGCUUGAGCACGCCGGAACAAAUGAAUAGUGAGACGUGAAUUAUUAUGAGGUGCACCGGUAUGAGACGACAUUGAAAUGAGGAAAGGGUAAGAUCACCAAAGCUUGACUUGAAACCACCGGAGAAGAUAAAAGAAACGAAGAAUGAUGAACUAGAAGCUCCGUUAGUAUCUUCAUGAGAAUCACCGGAUACGAACAUUGAAGGAAAAGAAUGGAAAGGCUUCACAUCAAUAAGAUGGAUACUCGAUUAAGAAAUCUGAGUCCUUAAAGAAAAAGGGUGGGUGGGUGGGAAAAAACAAAGUCAACUUGGAACGGAUGAAGGCAACACCGUUGAGAAGAACUGAUACUUGAUCUUGCUAAUAUUGAAAUGAUCGGAUCCACUUGAAGAGAGACACGCCGGUUAAAAAGGAUUGACAUGACACUAUCGAUUAUCAUGAAGUAUUAAUAUCCACAUAGGAAUAUGAGAACACCGUUUAGAGAAGGUAUGGAAUCAACAUUUGACUUCGAAGCAACUCAAAUACCACAACUCAAAACAAAAACAAAGGGUUGGUUUGCAGGAUAAGCCAGAACAAACAUAUGAUAGAGAUUUCGUCCGAAGUUUUCAUGGUGGGGCCUACACGGGCUCGAUCGUACAGCACCAUCAUGUACAAGGCAGUGCACAUGACAUACGAAGCGUCCCCGAGUCGGCAUAGCCAAGGACUCUUUAAGACACAAUGAGACCACUGUAAAACCGACCGUGGAUAGGCGGACCACUAGACGUCAAACCCCAAUUUCAUAUCAUACAUCUGUCGGAAAGAUAUCCUAAGAGCUACUUGAUUUCCCACCUAUGAAACUCCCGAACCUUUCCGGUUAUGCAAUCAGGUGUUGGGGAUACAGGGGAAGCAUAAUAUCUCACCCAAAACUAGCAAAUCCUACAUCCAGUUGUAUCCAUCCUUAACACAUAACCAAAAACCUUUGGAAAUCACCUACCUCAACCUUCGAAAAGCAUCCGUUAUACAAGUUAUGGCGAUACUCCCGAACUCCCGCCCCAGUACUGGGUGGCGUCGAGGUUAUCUCACCAACGAACUGCAUAAAAGAGAUUUUCGAUGUCGGCGUACUAAACUCAGGUAUUCCAGAACUGCAAUGAUAAAAUUGUGACGACAACACCUCGGAGCUCAACUCCCCGGGACACUGCCACAACCCCUAAAUGACAGGAGGCACCAAGAACAAUGUUCUCGUCACAAAACCAUCGAAACUAUUCCAAAAUACCCGCGUGAUCCUAAAAAAAUUUAGUGAAAUUUGAGAGGAGAAGAGUCAAAACUCUACGUCAGGAUGCCUUACCAGAGCAAUGAGGAGACUGGGGAGUAAAAAGAAAUCCUAAACUCUCCGAUAUAUAAUUCCUAAAUGACUCAAAACAUUUUUCUAGACUCAACAGCGGCAGCUAAUUCGAUCAAGCAAUGGGGCUCCUAAGGUCGGGGAAGGCUCUGAUUACCAACUUGUAACGCCCUCGAUGCGGCUAUAUCUCCCACGUAUCGAAGCACGACUUAUAGGCAUAACCGCAUUGAAAGCAAUGUCGCAAGUGAGGUAAUCUUCGCAAACAACCCAUGUAAUACAAUAAGGGAAAAGAUACAUAGUUGGCUUACAAUCGUCACUUCACACAAAUACAUGAAUAAAGCAUUACAUCAACCAGAUACACACAAGGUCCGACUACGGAACCAAAAUAAAAGAAGAACCCCAAAUGCGACAAGGUCCCCGAUCGACCCCAACUGGGCUCCACUACUGAUCAACUAGAACAAAACAACACAAAGGACAAGAUCUUCAUCGAGCUCCUCCUGAGCUUGGUUGCGUCAUCUGCAAGGACUCAUCGGCACCUGCAAACUAGUUUGGAAGUAUCUGUGAGUCACCGGGACACAGCAAUCUCGCACCCUCGCGAUCAAGACUAUUUAAGCUUAUGGGAAAGGAAAAAGGUAUGAGGUGGAGCUGCAGCAAGCGACUAGCAUAUAUGGUGGCUAACAUACGCAAAUGAGAGCGAGAAGAGAAGGCAAAGCACGGUCGAUUAAAGUAUGAUCAAGAAGUGAUCCUAGAACAACCUACGUCAAGCAUAACUCCAACACCGUGUUCACUUCCCGGACCCCGCCGAGAAGAGACCAUCACGGGUACACACGCGGUUGAUGUAUUUUAAUUAAGGUCAACUUCAGAUUUUCUACAACCGGACGUUAACAAAUUCCCAUCUGCCCAUAACCACGGGCAGGGCUUUCGAAAGUUCAAAUCCCUGCAGGGGAGUCCCAACUUAGCCCAUGACAAGCUCUCACGGUCAACGAAGGAAUAGACCUCCUCCCGAGACAUUCUGAUCAGACUCGGUAUCCCGGUUCUACAAGACACUUUGACAAGUUAAAACAAAUCCAGCAACACCGCCCGAAUGUGCCGACAAAUCCCGAUAGGAGCUGCACAUAUCUUGUCUCAGGGCACACUCAGAUGAGCUCUCCAUACAACUAAAACCAAACAUCGAGUUUCCCCAAGGGGGCACUGCAUAGGACUCUAGUUUGGACCAACACUCAGAGGAGAACUAGCCCGGGGGGGUUUAAAUAAAGAUGACCCUUGAGUCCGCGGAACCCAAGGGAAAAAAGGCUAGGUGGCAAAUGGUAAAACCAAUGUUGGGCAUUGCUGGAAGAGUUUUAUUCAAGGCGAACUGUCAAGGGGUUCCCAUUAUUACCCAACCGCGUAAGGAACGCAAAAUCCGGAAACAUAACACCGAUAUGACGGAAACUAGGGCAGCAAGAGUGAAACAAAACACCAGGCAUAAGGCCGAGCCUUCCACCCUUUACCAAGUAUAUAGAUGCAUUAAUUAAAUAAGAGAUAUUGUGAUAUCCCAACAAGUAAACAGGUUCCAACAAGGAACAACAUCUCCAUGUUCCAACAAGGAACAAACUUCAAUCUUCACCUGCAACUAACAACGCUAUAAGAGGGGCCGAGCAAAGCGGUAACAUAGCCAAACAACGGUUUGCUAGGACAAGGUGGGUUAGAGGCUUGGUUUAACAAUAUGGGAGGCAUGAUAAGCAAGUGGUAGGUAUCGCAGCAUAGGCAUAGCAAAAGAGCGAGCAACUAGCAAGCAAAGAUAGAAGUGAUUUCGAGGGUAUGGUCAUCUUUCCUGAGAUCCCGCAAGGAAGAAGAACGAGUCCAUGAAGAAGUUAAACGGACGUAGUCGACCGAAUCCUCACACACACGAUGUUAAUGGAACCAACCCGAAGAAGCAACACCGGAAAGAAGCAAACAACAUAGUAAAACAACCACCACAUAAACAUGGCAUGAUGCACAAUCAAGCAUGAUGCAUGUCCGGUUUAAAGAGGCAUGGCAUGGCAAAAUGCACAAACAAACCCUACAAAUUAAGUGGAGCUCAAUAUGCAACGGGAUGCAUAUUGAUGGAACACCACAACAAUUAUUUAGUUCGAUCUCGUUUAUGUACCCAACAAUAUUAAAUGUUGUUAGCAUGGCAAGAGUUGAAGCAAAGUAAAACUAUCUAUCUAGUCAAGUUUAACUGAGGCCGGAAGCAACGAACAACAAUUCCGGUAAAUCCCCAUAUGCAUAUUUUGGUUAUGGUACUGUUCUGCCCUGAACAAAAUUUUAGGGGUGUUAAACAUGCAAAGUGAUGCCACCAUGUUAAACUAGGCAUUUUUCUACCCCAUUUACAUAUAAAGUUUAUUAAAUUCCGAGUUGCGGUUAUUUAGUUAUGAAUUAAACCAUUUUAGCACGUUAUUUAAGCAAAUUUAAACAAACAGCAUAUUAAACAUUUUAAACAUGGAUGAAAAAGACAUUAUGAAACUAGAUGAAAAACUAAGAAAGUUUCAUAUACAAAGUUUUUACAUGUGAUGCUCCGUUUGUGAGAUAUUAAAUGCAUGAAGUUUAGGGGCUGAUCUGCAAAAGUGCAACUCCCUGAAAAAAAUAGGAAAACGCUCUAUGUAAAAAAAUGAUACGGGCCGGAUCUGGUUGGCCCAUUAGAGGAAAGGACAGGAGCUGCUCACAUCGGGCCAAGCACAGUCGGUGGAGGAGUGGGCCGGCUUGAGCUGGGGUCAACGAGCGAAGAGGAGGCACUGGGCCGCGCGAGCGAAGCAAAGGGAGGGGGUCGAGGCUCGGUCAACACGGGCAGGACUCGUCGAUUGACGCGCUCGCUACUACUCGACAGGAAGCUGAGCCGCGGCGGUACGGCUGCUCGCCAGAGACGAAGGAAGGGAGGCGGAGACGGCGGAUCUGGACGGAGGGGGGGGAUGCAGGUAAAGAAGCUCCAGGCGGAGAAGGAUCCAUGGGGCGGCGACGUCCUUGGACGGGCGGCAGCCAUGCUUCGGUCCCUGACAGAGAGAAACAGGAGAGGGGAGUGAGUGGUCAGGGGAGACAAUCAGAGGGAGGAGGAGAGGAAACAGGGUGGCGGCUACUCAUCUCCGACGAGGUCGGAGCUCCGGCGAGGUCGGAGCUCCGGCGAGGCCUGGUGGCCGGAGCAGCGACUUGAGGUGGCGGGGUCGAUCUGGAUCGGGAGGAGCUCGGGUACGGGCACGAGGGCAGCGGCGGAGCAGUGGCUUGCGGGGGCUCCUCUCCUCUCGAUGGAGCUUGGGAACGAGGGCACGGGGAGUAGCGGGGAGGUGCCUGGGUUCAACUCCGGCAAGGGGAGUCGUGGAUUGGAGCUCGGGACGGUCGGCGCGUGAUGAGCUCCUGCAGGACACGGGCACGACAAAAGGGUCAGGGAGGAAGAGAGGGAAAGAGAAGAAAGAGCAGGGGCGCACGGCGAGGCAUUCGUCCCAGGUUCGUUCGAAUAGACAAGGCGCUUGGGUCGGCCGACGCUCUGCUCGGUGGUACUCUGGCCGGGGCUCUCGGGAGGAGGAGGUUGCGGGAUUGGGUGGAUCGAGGGGAGGAGAAUGUUGGACCGGUGCUGAAAACGAGGGAGUUGGUCGGGAUCGACUGGGAAUGGGUGGAUGGCUCUGGGAGGAUCCCGAUGAAGAGAGUGGCAGCGGUGAGGAGGAGGAUUGGUGGAUUGGACAAGAUAGGCUAGGGCUUGACUGGUU
Molecule: long non-coding RNA, 9433 nt
Filed under: Triticum aestivum (bread wheat)
Lineage: Eukaryota; Viridiplantae; Streptophyta; Magnoliopsida; Poales; Poaceae
Description: long non-coding RNA (TAES_LNC020826)
Source: RNAcentral